GCGGAAGGCUUAACACAUGCAAGUCGAACGGAUCCUUGGAGGGUCAGUGGCAGACGGGUGAGUAACACGUGGGAACGUACCUUUCGGUUCGGAAUAACUACGGGAAACUAGAGCUAAUACCGGAUACGUCUGAGGGGGAAAGAUUUACUAGCGAAAGAUCGGCUCGCGUCCGAUUAGCUAGUUGGUGGGGUAAAGGCCCACUAAGGCGACGAUCGGUAGCUGGUCUGAGAGGAUGACCAGCCACACUGGGACUGAGACACGGCCCAGACCUCUACGGGAGGCAGCAGUGGGGAAUAUUGGACAAUGGGUGUAAGCCGGAUCCAGCCAUGCUGUGUGAGUGAUGAAGGCUUUAGGGUUGUAAAGCUCUUUUCCCAGGGACGAUAAUGACGGUACCUUGAUAAGAAGCCCCGGCUAACUUCGUGCCAGCAGCCGGGGUAAUACGAAGUGGGGUUAGCGUUGCUUCGGAAUCACUGGGCGUUAAGCGCACGUAGGCGGAUUGUUAAGUCAGGGG
This 511-nucleotide ribosomal RNA is filed under the name uncultured eubacterium WJGRT-126. RNAcentral describes it as "bacterial SSU rRNA". It matches the Rfam family "Bacterial small subunit ribosomal RNA", at positions 39 to 594 of the family's 1533-position model. The record is from RNAcentral.